UGUCGUCAGCUCGUGUCGUGAGGUGUUGGGUUAAGUCCGUAACGAGCGCAACCCUUGUCCUUAGUUACCAGCACGUUAUGGUGGGCACUCUAAGGAGACUGCCGGUGACAAACCGGAGGAAGGUGGGGAUGACGUCAAGUCAUCAUGGCCCUUACGGCCUGGGCUACACACGUGCUACAAUGGUCGGUACAAAGGGUUGCCAAGCCGCGAGGUGGAGCUAAUCCCAUAAAACCGAUCGUAGUCCGGAUCGCAGUCUGCAACUCGACUGCGUGAAGUCGGAAUCGCUAGUAAUCGUGAAUCAGAAUGUCACGGUGAAUACGUUCCCGGGCCUU
This 332-nucleotide ribosomal RNA is filed under the name uncultured Pseudomonas sp. RNAcentral describes it as "bacterial SSU rRNA". It matches the Rfam family "Bacterial small subunit ribosomal RNA", at positions 1050 to 1382 of the family's 1533-position model. Lineage: Bacteria; Pseudomonadati; Pseudomonadota; Gammaproteobacteria; Pseudomonadales; Pseudomonadaceae. The record is from RNAcentral.